RNAcentral lists this non-coding RNA (27 nucleotides) under Bombyx mori (domestic silkworm). The record is from RNAcentral. Lineage: Eukaryota; Metazoa; Arthropoda; Insecta; Lepidoptera; Bombycidae.
UGCUUGGUGGGAGGGCGCGAGUUGUUC